GAUGAAGAACGCAGCGAAUUGCGAUAAGUAAUGUGAAUUGCAGAUUUUCAGUGAAUCAUCGAAUCUUUGAACGCACCUUGCGCUCCUUGGUAUUCCGAGGGGCAUGCCUGUUCGAGCGUCAUUAUAACCCUCAAGCUCAGCUUGGUGUUGGGGCCUGCUGCACUGGCAGCCCUUAAAAUCAGUGGCGGCGCCAUCUGGCUCUAAGCGUAGUAAUUCUUCUCGCUAUGGAGUCCUGGUGGAUGCUUGCCAUCAACCCCCAAUUUUUCUAUGGUUGACCUCGGAUCAGGUAGGGAUACCCGCUGAACUUAAGCAUAUCAAUAAGCGGAGGA
Molecule: unclassified non-coding RNA, 329 nt
Filed under: soil metagenome
Description: partial contains 5.8S ribosomal RNA, internal transcribed spacer 2, and large subunit ribosomal RNA
Rfam family: 5.8S ribosomal RNA (bases 1-121)
Source: RNAcentral